UACGAGGGGGGCAAAUGUUGUUCGGAAUCACUGGGCGUAAAGGGAGCGUAGGCGGGUUCUUAAGUAAGGUGUUUAAUCCCGGGGCCCAACCCCGGACCGGCACUUUAAACUGGGAAUCUUGAAUAGUGGAGAGGUCGGUGGAAUUGGGGGUGUAGCGGUGGAAUGCGUAGAGAUCCCCAAGAACACCAGUUGCGAAGGCGGCCGACUGGACACAUAUUGACGCUGAGGCUCGAAAGCGUGGGGAGCGAACAGG
This 253-nucleotide ribosomal RNA is filed under the name uncultured bacterium. RNAcentral's name for it is "partial 16S ribosomal RNA". It matches the Rfam family "Bacterial small subunit ribosomal RNA", at positions 524 to 776 of the family's 1533-position model. The record is from RNAcentral.